GCACCCGUAGCUCAGCUGGAUAGAGCGUCGCCCUCCGAAGGCAGAGGUCACAGGUUCGAAUCCUGUCGGAUGCGCCA
This 77-nucleotide transfer RNA is filed under the name Mesorhizobium sp. WSM4310. Its description in RNAcentral is "tRNA-Arg". It matches the Rfam family "tRNA". Rfam says of the family: Transfer RNA (tRNA) molecules are approximately 80 nucleotides in length. Their secondary structure includes four short double-helical elements and three loops (D, anti-codon, and T loops). The record is from RNAcentral. Lineage: Bacteria; Pseudomonadati; Pseudomonadota; Alphaproteobacteria; Hyphomicrobiales; Phyllobacteriaceae.